RNAcentral lists this ribosomal RNA (789 nucleotides) under uncultured Actinomycetes bacterium. RNAcentral describes it as "bacterial SSU rRNA". It matches the Rfam family "Bacterial small subunit ribosomal RNA", at positions 74 to 875 of the family's 1533-position model. Lineage: Bacteria; Bacillati; Actinomycetota; Actinomycetes. The record is from RNAcentral.
CCCUGCUUGCAGGGUACUCGAGUGGCGAACGGGUGAGUAACACGUGGGUGAUCUGCCCUGCACUUCGGGAUAAGCCUGGGAAACUGGGUCUAAUACCGGAUAGGAGCCAUUUUUAGUGUGAUGGUUGGAAAGUUUUUCGGUGUAGGAUGAGCUCGCGGCCUAUCAGCUUGUUGGUGGGGUAAUGGCCUACCAAGGCGGCGACGGGUAGCCGGCCUGAGAGGGUGGACGGCCACAUUGGGACUGAGAUACGGCCCAGACUCCUACGGGAGGCAGCAGUGGGGAAUAUUGCACAAUGGGCGCAAGCCUGAUGCAGCGACGCCGCGUGGGGGAUGACGGCCUUCGGGUUGUAAACUCCUUUCGCUAGGGACGAAGCUUUUUGUGACGGUACCUAGAUAAGAAGCACCGGCUAACUACGUGCCAGCAGCCGCGGUAAUACGUAGGGUGCGAGCGUUGUCCGGAAUUACUGGGCGUAAAGGGCUCGUAGGUGGUUUGUCGCGUCGUCUGUGAAAUUCCGGGGCUUAACUCCGGGCGUGCAGGCGAUACGGGCAUAACUUGAGUACUGUAGGGGUAACUGGAAUUCCUGGUGUAGCGGUGAAAUGCGCAGAUAUCAGGAGGAACACCGAUGGCGAAGGCAGGUUACUGGGCAGUUACUGACGGCUGAGGAGCGAAAGCAUGGGUAGCGAACAGGAUUAGAUACCCUGGUAGUCCAUGCCGUAAACGGUGGGCGCUAGGUGUGAGGGUCUUUUCACGACUUUCGUGCCGUAGCUAACGCAUUAAGCGCCCCGCCUG